GAAGCAACGCGAAGAACCUUACCAGGUCUUGACAUCCUCUGAAAACCCUAGAGAUAGGGCUUCUCCUUCGGGAGCAGAGUGACAGGUGGUGCAUGGUUGUCGUCAGCUCGUGUCGUGAGAUGUUGGGUUAAGUCCCGCAACGAGCGCAACCCUUGAUCUUAGUUGCCAUCAUUAAGUUGGGCACUCUAAGGUGACUGCCGGUGACAAACCGGAGGAAGGUGGGGAUGACGUCAAAUCAUCAUGCCCCUUAUGACCUGGGCUACACACGUGCUACAAUGGACGGUACAAAGAGCUGCAAGACCGCGAGGUGGAGCUAAUCUCAUAAAACCGUUCUCAGUUCGGAUUGUAGGCUGCAACUCGCCUACAUGAAGCUGGAAUCGCUAGUAA
This 387-nucleotide ribosomal RNA is filed under the name Bacillus sp. MEA7(2011). Its description in RNAcentral is "bacterial SSU rRNA". It matches the Rfam family "Bacterial small subunit ribosomal RNA", at positions 953 to 1341 of the family's 1533-position model. Lineage: Bacteria; Bacillati; Bacillota; Bacilli; Caryophanales; Bacillaceae. The record is from RNAcentral.